AAUUUUAGAUCAUGAAGCUUUUCUUUAUUAAUGGGACAUGCAUCUUUACUAGUGGGAAUGAAUACUUGACCCAUAUUUUUGUUGGUGAAUUUAAGUUUUUGAUACAUCAAGUAAAAUCAAUGAUAUUACCUUGUUUUCUCCAGCUGAUUAUUCCUCUCGUCGACAUAGUAGGAGUUUACAUCAAUCCCAGUUGUUCCUCCAUGAAUGUCG
RNAcentral lists this unclassified non-coding RNA (210 nucleotides) under Hevea brasiliensis (rubber tree). The record is from RNAcentral. Lineage: Eukaryota; Viridiplantae; Streptophyta; Magnoliopsida; Malpighiales; Euphorbiaceae.